GACGAACGCUGGCGGCGUGCUUAACACAUGCAAGUCGAACGGUAAGGCCCUUCGGGGUACACGAGUGGCGAACGGGUGAGUAACACGUGGGUGAUCUGCCCUGCACUUCGGGAUAAGCCUGGGAAACUGGGUCUAAUACCGGUUAGGACCCUGGGAUGCAUGUCCUGGGGUGGAAAGCUUUUGCGGUGUGGGAUGGGCCCGCGGCCUAUCAGCUUGGUGGUGGGGUGAUGGCCUACCAAGGCGACGACGGGUAGCCGGCCUGAGAGGGUGACCGGCCACACUGGGACUGAGAUACGGCCCAGACCCCUACGGGAGGCAGCAGUGGGGAAUAUUGCACAAUGGGCGCAAGCCUGAUGCAGCGACGCCGCGUGAGGGAUGACGGCCUUCGGGUUGAAAACCUCUUUCAGCACCGACGAAGCGCAAGUGACGGUAGGUGCAGAAGAAGGACCGGCCAACUACGUGCCAGCCGCCGCCGUAA
This 478-nucleotide ribosomal RNA is filed under the name uncultured bacterium. RNAcentral describes it as "partial 16S ribosomal RNA". It matches the Rfam family "Bacterial small subunit ribosomal RNA", at positions 28 to 523 of the family's 1533-position model. The record is from RNAcentral.